This 305-nucleotide ribosomal RNA is filed under the name uncultured bacterium. RNAcentral describes it as "bacterial SSU rRNA". It matches the Rfam family "Bacterial small subunit ribosomal RNA", at positions 333 to 653 of the family's 1533-position model. The record is from RNAcentral.
CUGGACCUACGGGACGCAGCAGUGGGGGAUAUUGCACAAUGGGGGAAACCCUGAUGCAGCGACGCCGCGUGGGCGAAGAAGUAUUUCGGUAUGUAAAGCCCUAUCAGCAGGGAAGAAGAAAUGACGGUACCUGAGUAAGAAGCACCGGCUAAAUACGUGCCAGCAGCCGCGGUAAUACGUAUGGUGCAAGCGUUAUCCGGAUUUACUGGGGGUAAAGGGAGCGCAGGCGGCACGGCAAGCCUGAUGUGAAAGCCCGCGGCCCAACCGCGGGACCGCAUCGGGAACUCCCGGGCUGGAGUUCCGGG